Molecule: ribosomal RNA, 301 nt
Filed under: uncultured bacterium
Lineage: Bacteria
Description: partial 16S ribosomal RNA
Rfam family: Bacterial small subunit ribosomal RNA
Source: RNAcentral
CAGCAGCCGCGGGAAUACGGAGGGUGCAAGCGUUAAUCGGAAUUACUGGGCGUAAAGCGUGCGUAGGCGGCUUUUUAAGUCGGAUGUGAAAUCCCUGAGCUUAACUUAGGAAUUGCAUUCGAUACUGGGAAGCUAGAGUAUGGGAGAGGAUGGUAGAAUUCCAGGUGUAGCGGUGAAAUGCGUAGAGAUCUGGAGGAAUACCGAUGGCGAAGGCAGCCAUCUGGCCUAAUACUGACGCUGAGGUACGAAAGCAUGGGGAGCAAACAGGAUUAGAUACCCCAGUAGUCCCUGUCUCUUAUAC